Molecule: ribosomal RNA, 444 nt
Filed under: uncultured bacterium
Lineage: Bacteria
Description: bacterial SSU rRNA
Rfam family: Bacterial small subunit ribosomal RNA
Source: RNAcentral
CCAGACUCCUACGGGAGGCAGCAGUGGGGAAUAUUGCACAGUGGGGGAAACCCUGAUGCAGCGACGCCGCGUGAAGGAAGAAGUAUUUCGGUAUGUAAACUUCUAUCAGCAGGGAAGAAAAUGACGGUACCUGACUAAGAAGCCCCGGCUAACUACGUGCCAGCAGCCGCGGUAAUACGUAGGGGGCAAGCGUUAUCCGGAUUUACUGGGUGUAAAGGGAGCGUAGGCGGUGAUGCAAGUCAGAAGUGAAAGCCCGCAGCUCAACUGCGGGACUGCUUUUGAAACUGGCAAACUGGAGUGUGUGAGAGGAUAGUGGAAUUCCAGGUGUAGGAGUGAAAUCCGUAGAUAUCUGGAGGAACAUCAGUGGCGAAGGCGACUAUCUGGCACAUAACUGACGCUGAGGAGCGAAAGCGUGGGUAGCAAACAGGAUUAGAUACCCGAGUA